AAAAUAUAAUAUUCUCAAGCUAACGUAUCUAAGGAUAAUAAUCUAUGAUACCUAGCCAGGUAAUUUAUAUUACCUCGGGUUAAUAUGGAAACAUGUUGGCCUUCCAUUAUUUGAAAAGAGAAUCUAUUAUUAGUUAA
Molecule: non-coding RNA, 137 nt
Filed under: Terrisporobacter mayombei
Lineage: Bacteria; Bacillati; Bacillota; Clostridia; Peptostreptococcales; Peptostreptococcaceae
Description: MOCO_RNA_motif
Rfam family: Molybdenum/Tungsten riboswitch aptamer (Moco RNA motif)
Source: RNAcentral